CAGCCGCCGCGGUAAUACGAGGGGGGCAAGCGUUGUUCGGAAUUACUGGGCGUAAAGCGUGCGCAGGCGGUUAUAUAAGACAGAUGUGAAAUCCCCGGGCUCAACCUGGGAACUGCAUUUGUGACUGUAUAGCUAGAGUACGGCAGAGGGGGAUGGAAUUCCGCGUGUAGCAGUGAAAUGCGUAGAUAUGCGGAGGAACACCGAUGGCGAAGGCAAUCCCCUGGGCCUGUACUGACGCUCAUGCACGAAAGCGUGGGGAGCAAACAGGAUUAGAUACCCCCGUAGUCCCUGUCUCUUAUAC
This 301-nucleotide ribosomal RNA is filed under the name uncultured bacterium. RNAcentral describes it as "partial 16S ribosomal RNA". It matches the Rfam family "Bacterial small subunit ribosomal RNA", at positions 509 to 807 of the family's 1533-position model. The record is from RNAcentral.